GACGAACGCUGGCGGCGUGCUUAACACAUGCAAGUCGAACGGAAAGGCCUUUUCGGAGGUACUCGAGUGGCGAACGGGUGCGUAACACGUGGGUGAUCUGCCCUGCACUCUGGGAUAAGCCUGGGAAACUGGGUCUAAUACCGGAUAGGACCGCACUUUAGUGUGUGUGGUGGAAAGUUUUUUCGGUGUAGGAUGAGCCCGCGGCCUAUCAGCUUGUUGGUGGGGUAAUGGCCUACCAAGGCGGCGACGGGUAGCCGGACUGAGAGGUUGGUCGGCCACAUUGGGACUGAGAUACGGCCCAGACUCCUACGGGAGGCAGCAGUGGGGAAUAUUGCACAAUGGGCGCAAGCCUGAUGCAGCGACGCCGCGUGGGGGAUGACGGCCUUCGGGUUGGAAACUCCUUUCGCCAGGGACGAAGCGUUUUGUGACGGUACCUGGAGAAGAAGCACCGGCUAACUACGUG
Molecule: ribosomal RNA, 463 nt
Filed under: uncultured bacterium
Lineage: Bacteria
Description: partial 16S ribosomal RNA
Rfam family: Bacterial small subunit ribosomal RNA
Source: RNAcentral